This 387-nucleotide unclassified non-coding RNA is filed under the name uncultured Verrucomicrobiae bacterium. Its description in RNAcentral is "contains 16S-23S intergenic spacer region". Lineage: Bacteria; Pseudomonadati; Verrucomicrobiota; Verrucomicrobiia. The record is from RNAcentral.
UCCUCGUUUAAGCGAGGCAGUCUGUCCAGAGUGCUUCCCGCUCUCGCGGGAGUCGCAACAGGACACAAGGGUUGCGCUCGUUGCGGGACUUAACCCAACAUCUCACGACACGAGCUGACGACAGCCAUGCAGCACCUGUGUAGGCUCCCCUUGCGGGGUCGUUACCCUUUCAGACUUCUACCACCUACAUGUCAAGGCCAGGUAAGGUUCUUCGCGUUGCAUCGAAUUAAGCCACAUACUCCACCGCUUGUGCAGGCCCCCGUCAAUUUCUUUGAGUUUUAAUCUUGCGACCGUACUCCCCAGGCGGCACAUUUAACGCGUUAGCUACGCCACGAACGGGGUCGAAUCCGCCCACAGCAAAUGUGCACCGUUUACGGCUAGGACUAC